CUUAAAUAUUGUACUUGUCCCUGACCCAUAAGAACCAACUAAAAGAAUCUUCUGGAGUGUUUUCUUCUCAAGGUACUCAGGCAUAACUCUGUUAAUAGUGUUGGGUACAUCUUCUCCAGAAGGAUUAGUUGCUUUUGAAGGAACUGGAAGUGACAGAAAAGAGCAUAGCAGCUUUGUAGUAGGCUUCUCCCAUAACUUCCCUUUUAUGUUUUUUUGUCCCUCCUCCUGGUAUGUCCCAUCAGCGUUCACCCAAAAGUGAGGUUUUCCAGCACAUUGAACCCCUGCCCACUGAAGCAUCCGCAACUCUGAUUUUGUUAUCUCACGGUCAUUUAUUAAGAUCCCAGUGUCCCCUUUGCUUGCAUGUCGCAUGAUGCCGGCCCCAACAUUUAGAUGAGGACUAAUGAUCUGGUGUGGUUUUUGUCCUUCCUUGCCCCAAAAGCCUGCAACCUUGUCGUACCAAUAAUACCCCGG
RNAcentral lists this unclassified non-coding RNA (471 nucleotides) under Hevea brasiliensis (rubber tree). The record is from RNAcentral. Lineage: Eukaryota; Viridiplantae; Streptophyta; Magnoliopsida; Malpighiales; Euphorbiaceae.